This is a long non-coding RNA of Ipomoea nil (Japanese morning glory), 658 nucleotides long. RefSeq lists it as uncharacterized. The transcript has 3 exons. Lineage: Eukaryota; Viridiplantae; Streptophyta; Magnoliopsida; Solanales; Convolvulaceae. The record is from RefSeq and is a predicted model, not a curated record.
GCAACUUACUUCCACCUCUUUUCUUUCUUUUCAUCACUCCUUCCACCCCUUCAUCUUUUAUCAACCACAAAUCCUAACCUACCAUUCUUCUGAUUCUAAUGCUUCGCCGUAAGCCUCGCGACUAUAUCGGGAAACAGGAACAAAAGCAUGGAAACAAAUCGAAUCUAAACAAAUAGACAUGUAAAUCGUGCAGGUCAAUGAGAGAAAAUUUCUGAUCUAAACCCCUGUAUACUGUAGCCGACAAAUGAGAGAAAGAAGCGCAGGUUCUUGAUCACAAUCUUGAAUAAGACUUCCGGAUGGCGUUCUUCAAGCGAUCCGAUUCAGUGGUGGAAGAUUUGAACGAGUUCGAUGGCAUUCAUUGGUUCAGGAUUUCCGCGGCGCCAAAUCUUCAUCAGGGAUCAUCAAUUCAAUCCGGGAGCAAUUUCGGAGGGCGGUGAGCAAGGAUUUCUCUCUCUGUGGCAGCUUCUGAUUGGCGGUGGUGCAAUUUCUUCUGGCCGACGAUUUCUAUUCAGUCGUGGUAGCUUCUUGGGCGGUUGGUUAGUUAAUUCUGGGCAGUAAUUCUUGUUUCAGUAGCAUUCGAAAACAAACUUUGCUUGUUUCCUUUCUUAAUUUCCGUAGCUAUUCAUAACUAUUCCUUCAAUUCCAAUUUUGUUGAGUA